UACGAAGGGGGCUAGCGCUGUUCGGAUUUACUGGGCGUAAAGCGCGUGUAGGCGGGUCGUUAAGUUGGGGGAGAAAUCCCGGAGCUCAACUCCGGAACUGCCUUCAAAACUGGAGACCUGGACUCAAGCAGAGGCAAGUGGAAUUGCGAGUGUAGAGGUGAAAUUCGUAGAUAUUCGCAGGAACACCAGUGGCGAAGGCGACUUGCUGGGCUUGUAGUGACGCUGAGACGCGAAAGCGUGGGGAGCAAACAGG
RNAcentral lists this ribosomal RNA (253 nucleotides) under uncultured bacterium. RNAcentral describes it as "partial 16S ribosomal RNA". It matches the Rfam family "Bacterial small subunit ribosomal RNA", at positions 524 to 776 of the family's 1533-position model. The record is from RNAcentral.